UGUAAUGUGGUUCAGUUGACAGAGCACCUGCCUGGCAUGCACGAAGCCCUGGGUGCAAUCCCCAGCCCUGCAA
This 73-nucleotide transfer RNA is filed under the name Cricetulus griseus (Chinese hamster). It matches the Rfam family "tRNA". From Rfam's summary of the family: Transfer RNA (tRNA) molecules are approximately 80 nucleotides in length. Their secondary structure includes four short double-helical elements and three loops (D, anti-codon, and T loops). Further hydrogen bonds mediate the characteristic L-shaped molecular structure. tRNAs have two regions of fundamental functional importance: the anti-codon, which is responsible for specific mRNA codon recognition, and the 3' end, to which the tRNAs corresponding amino acid is attached (by aminoacyl-tRNA synthetases). tRNAs cope with the degeneracy of the genetic code in two manners: having more than one tRNA (with a specific anti-codon) for a particular amino acid; and 'wobble' base-pairing, i.e. permitting non-standard base-pairing at the 3rd anti-codon position. The record is from Rfam by way of RNAcentral. Lineage: Eukaryota; Metazoa; Chordata; Mammalia; Rodentia; Cricetidae.